This 425-nucleotide ribosomal RNA is filed under the name uncultured bacterium. RNAcentral describes it as "bacterial SSU rRNA". It matches the Rfam family "Bacterial small subunit ribosomal RNA", at positions 354 to 796 of the family's 1533-position model. The record is from RNAcentral.
GUGGGGAAUAUUGGACAAUGGGCGCAAGCCUGAUCCAGCCAUGCCGCGUGAGUGAUGAAGGCCCUAGGGUUGUAAAGCUCUUUUGUGCGGGAAGAUAAUGACUGUACCGCAAGAAUAAGCCCCGGCUAACUUCGUGCCAGCAGCCGCGGUAAUACGAAGGGGGCUAGCGUUGCUCGGAAUCACUGGGCGUAAAGCGCACGUAGGCGGACUCUUAAGUCGGUGGUGAAAUCCUGGAGCUCAACUCCAGAACUGCCUUCGAUACUGGGAGUCUCGAGUUCGGGAGAGGUGAGUGGAACUGCGAGUGUAGAGGUGAAAUUCGUAGAUAUUCGCAAGAACACCAGUGGCGAAGGCGGCUCACUGGCCCGAUACUGACGCUGAGGUGCGAAAGCGUGGGGAGCAAACAGGAUUAGAAACCCUUGUAGUCC